This 387-nucleotide long non-coding RNA is filed under the name Manihot esculenta (cassava). RNAcentral describes it as "long non-coding RNA (MESC_LNC005898)". The record is from RNAcentral. Lineage: Eukaryota; Viridiplantae; Streptophyta; Magnoliopsida; Malpighiales; Euphorbiaceae.
UGUAUACAACACCAUGGUACUUACCAUUGCCAGGGCGUAGUCAAAGGCUCCUGGACUUUACUAUAUACCUGCCAGGGCGUAGUCAAAGGCUCCUGGUCUUUGCUAUACUUGCCAGGGCGUAGUCAAAGGCUCCUGGUCUUCCUGUCUGUGACUAUGGGAUCAUUCAGCAUUUACCCACAUCAACAUAUAACAAUGCAAUGCAACAUAUUCGUGGAUACUAAUGCAAUCAACUUAUUGUAUAAUCAUGAUGCAUGAGAUAUGCUAAAACAUGUCUUUGAUCAAUUCAAAAGCAUUAAGUUUAGUUCCACUCACCUCUGGCUAUCUGGACUGACUGACUCUGCAGGCUCUGAAAACUCUGGAGCAGUACUCACUGCUGCUCUCUCUGGU